This 301-nucleotide ribosomal RNA is filed under the name uncultured bacterium. RNAcentral describes it as "partial 16S ribosomal RNA". It matches the Rfam family "Bacterial small subunit ribosomal RNA", at positions 509 to 809 of the family's 1533-position model. The record is from RNAcentral.
CAGCAGCCGCGGUAAUACAGAGGGUGCGAGCGUUAAUCGGAUUUACUGGGCGUAAAGCGUGCGUAGGCGGCUUCUUAAGUCGGAUGUGAAAUCCCUGAGCUUAACUUAGGAAUUGCAUUCGAUACUGGGAAGCUAGAGUAUGGGAGAGGAUGGUAGAAUUCCAGGUGUAGCGGUGAAAUGCGUAGAGAUCUGGAGGAAUACCGAUGGCGAAGGCAGCCAUCUGGCCUAAUACUGACGCUCAUGCACGAAAGCGUGGGGAGCAAACAGGAUUAGAUACCCCCGUAGUCCCUGUCUCUUAUAU